RNAcentral lists this ribosomal RNA (832 nucleotides) under uncultured archaeon. RNAcentral describes it as "bacterial SSU rRNA". It matches the Rfam family "Archaeal small subunit ribosomal RNA", at positions 21 to 859 of the family's 1478-position model. The record is from RNAcentral.
GGUUACUGCUAUCGAGGUUCCACUAAGCCAUGCGAGUCGAAUGUAGCAAUACAUGGCGUACUGCUCAGUAACACGUGGACAACCUACCCUUAGGCCUGGGAUAACCCCGGGAAACUGGGAAUAAUACCGGAUAUCUCGCGAAUGCUGGAAUGCGUCGCGAUAGAAAGCUCCGGCGCCUAAGGAUGGGUCUGCGGCCUAUCAGGUAGUAGUGGGUGUAACGUACCUACUAGCCUACGACGGGUACGGGUUGUGAGAGCAAGAGCCCGGAGAUGGAUUCUGAGACACGGAUCCAGGCCCUACGGGGUGCAGCAGGCGCGAAAACUUUACAAUGCUGGAAACAGCGAUAAGGGGACCUCGAGUGCCAGGAUACAAUCCUGGCUGUCGUAAUGCCUAAAAAGCAUUGCAUAGCAAGGGCCGGGCAAGACCGGUGCCGGCCGCCGCGGUAACACCGGCGGCUCGAGUGGUAACCGCUAUUAUUGGGUCUAAAGGGUCUGUAGCCGGCUGACUAAGUCUCUUGGGAAAUCUGGCAGCUUAACUGUCAGGCUUUCAGGAGAUACUGAUCGGCUCGAGACCGGGAGAGGUGAGAGGUACCUCAGGGGUAGGGGUGAAAUCUUGUAAUCCCUGUGGGACCACCUGUGGCGAAGGCGUCUUACCAGAACGGGUUCGACGGUGAGGGACGAAAGCUGGGGGCACGAACCGGAUUAGAUACCCGGGUAGUCCCAGCCGUAAACGAUGCUCGCUAGGUGUCAGGCAUGGCGCGACCGUGUCUGGUGCCGCAGGGAAGCCGUGAAGCGAGCCACCUGGGAAGUACGGCCGCAAGGCUGAAACUUAA